Molecule: ribosomal RNA, 445 nt
Filed under: uncultured bacterium
Lineage: Bacteria
Description: bacterial SSU rRNA
Rfam family: Bacterial small subunit ribosomal RNA
Source: RNAcentral
CCUACGGGAGGCACCAGUGGGGAAUAUUGCACAAUGGGCGGAAGCCUGAUGCAGCAACGCCGCGUGAGGGAUGACGGCCUUCGGGUUGUAAACCUCUUUUAGCAGGGAAGAAGCGAAAGUGACGGUACCUGCAGAAAAAGCGCCGGCUAACUACGUGCCAGCAGCCGGGGUAAUACGUAGGGCGCAAGCGUUAUCCGGAAUUAUUGGGCGUAAAGAGCUCGUAGGCGGUUUGUCGCGUCUGCUGUGAAAUCCCGAGGCUCAACCUCGGGCCUGCAGUGGGUACGGGCAGACUAGAGUGCGGUAGGGGAGAUUGGAAUUCCUGGUGUAGCGGUGGAAUGCGCAGAUAUCAGGAGGAACACCGAUGGCGAAGGCAGAUCUCUGGGCCGUAACUGACGCUGAGGAGCGAAAGGGUGGGGAGCAGACAGGAUUAGAUACCCCUGUAGUC